AGCGAACGCUGGCGGCAGGCUUAACACAUGCAAGUCGAACGCCCCGCAAGGGGAGUGGCAGACGGGUGAGUAACACGUGGGAACGUACCCUUUGGUUCGGAAUAACUUGGGGAAACUCAAGCUAAUACCGGAUAAGCCCUUAUGGGGAAAGGUUUACUGCCGAAGGAUCGGCCCGCGUCUGAUUAGCUAGCUGGUGAGGUAAUGGCUCACCAAGGCGACGAUCAGUAGCUGGUCUGAGAGGAUGAUCAGCCACAAUGGGAAUGAGACACGGACCAGACUCCUGAGGGAGGCGGCAGUGGGGAAUAUUGAAAAAUGGGGGUAACCCUGAUCGAGCCAUGCCGCGUGAGUGAUGAAGGACUUAGGGUUGGAAAGCUCUUUUACCCGGGAAGAUAAUGACUGUACCGGGAGAAUAAGCCCCGGCUAACUUCGUGCCAGCCGCCGCCGUAA
RNAcentral lists this ribosomal RNA (447 nucleotides) under uncultured bacterium. RNAcentral describes it as "partial 16S ribosomal RNA". It matches the Rfam family "Bacterial small subunit ribosomal RNA", at positions 29 to 523 of the family's 1533-position model. The record is from RNAcentral.